UACGUAGGUGGCGAGCGUUGUCCGGAUUUACUGGGCGUAAAGGGAGCGUGGGCGGACUUUUAAGUGAGAUGUGAAAUACUCGGGCUCAACUUGAGUGCUGCAUUUCAAACUGGAAGUCUAGAGUGCAGGAGAGGAGAACGGAAUUCCUAGUGUAGCGGUGAAAUGCGUAGAGAUUAGGAAGAACACCAGUGGCGAAGGCGAUUCUCUGGACUGUGACUGACGCUGAGGCUCGAAAGCGUGGGGAGCAAACAGG
RNAcentral lists this ribosomal RNA (253 nucleotides) under uncultured bacterium. RNAcentral describes it as "partial 16S ribosomal RNA". It matches the Rfam family "Bacterial small subunit ribosomal RNA", at positions 524 to 776 of the family's 1533-position model. The record is from RNAcentral.